RNAcentral lists this unclassified non-coding RNA (342 nucleotides) under soil metagenome. Its description in RNAcentral is "partial contains 5.8S ribosomal RNA, internal transcribed spacer 2, and large subunit ribosomal RNA". The stretch from base 1 to 120 matches the Rfam family "5.8S ribosomal RNA", at positions 35 to 154 of the family's 154-position model. The record is from RNAcentral.
GAUGAAGAACGUAGCGAAAUGCGAUAAGUAAUGCGAAUUGCAGAAUUCCGUGAGUCAUCGAAUCUUUGAACGCACAUUGCGCCCUUUGGUAUUCCGAAGGGCAUGCCUGUCCGAGCGUCAUUAUCAACUCUCAAGCCCGGCUUGCGGUUGGGUCCCGCCGUGGGCAGCCACGGUGGACCUGAAAGAUAAUGGUGGUGCCCGUGGGGCCCUGGAUGCAACGAGCUUGUUAGCACGCGUCCGCACGGCCCCCCGGCGCCGUCUCAACCAAUCUACCCUCGCGCAGAUUGACCUCGGAUCAGGUAGGGAUACCCGCUGAACUUAAGCAUAUCAAUAAGCGGAGGA